RNAcentral lists this ribosomal RNA (253 nucleotides) under uncultured bacterium. RNAcentral describes it as "partial 16S ribosomal RNA". It matches the Rfam family "Bacterial small subunit ribosomal RNA", at positions 524 to 776 of the family's 1533-position model. The record is from RNAcentral.
UACGUAGGGUGCGAGCGUUGUCCGGAAUUAUUGGGCGUAAAGAGCUUGUAGGCGGUUUGUCGCGUCUGCUGUGAAAAUCCGGGGCUCAACCCCGGACGUGCAGUGGGUACGGGCAGGCUAGAGUGUGGUAGGGGAGACUGGAAUUCCUGGUGUAGCGGUGAAAUGCGCAGAUAUCAGGAGGAACACCGAUGGCGAAGGCAGGUCUCUGGGCCACUACUGACGCUGAGAAGCGAAAGCAUGGGGAGCGAACAGG